AACGAACGCUGGCGGCAUGCCUAACACAUGCAAGUCGAACGAGACCUUCGGGUCUAGUGGCGCACGGGUGCGUAACGCGUGGGAACCUGCCCUUAGGUUCGGAAUAACUCCCCGAAAGGGGUGCUAAUACCGGAUAAUGUCUUCGGACCAAAGAUUUAUCGCCGUUGGAUGGGCCCGCGUUUGAUUAGCUAGUUGGUAGGGUAAAAGCCUACGAAGGCGGCGAUCCAUAGCUGGUCUGAGAGGAUGAUCAGCCAUACUGGGACUGAGAAACGGCCCAGAAUCGUACGCAAGGCAGGAAUGGGGAAGAUUGGACUAAGGAGGGAAGGCUGAUGCAGCAACGGCCAGUGACUGCUGUAGGAAUUAGGGUUGAAAGGCUCUCUUAACCGGGAGGAUCAUGACAGUACCGGGAGAAUAAGCACCGGCUAACUCCGUG
RNAcentral lists this ribosomal RNA (433 nucleotides) under uncultured bacterium. Its description in RNAcentral is "partial 16S ribosomal RNA". It matches the Rfam family "Bacterial small subunit ribosomal RNA", at positions 29 to 507 of the family's 1533-position model. The record is from RNAcentral.